Molecule: ribosomal RNA, 747 nt
Filed under: uncultured Peptoniphilus sp.
Lineage: Bacteria; Bacillati; Bacillota; Tissierellia; Tissierellales; Peptoniphilaceae
Description: bacterial SSU rRNA
Rfam family: Bacterial small subunit ribosomal RNA
Source: RNAcentral
GACGAACGCUGGCGGCGCGCUUAACACAUGCAAGUCGAGCGAUGAAAUUUUGACAGAUCCCUUCGGGGUGAAGACAAAAUGGAUUAGCGGCGGACGGGUGAGUAACACGUGAGUAACCUGCCUUAGACAUUGGGAUAGCCUCGGGAAACCGGGAUUAAUACCAAAUAAAAUCAUAGGUGCACAUGCACUAAUGAUCAAAACUCCGGUGGUCUAAGAUGGACUCGCGUCCCAUUAGCUAGUUGGUAGGGUAACGGCCUACCAAGGCGACGAUGGGUAGCCGGCCUGAGAGGGUGAACGGCCACAUUGGAACUGAGAAACGGUCCAAACUCCUACGGGAGGCAGCAGUGGGGAAUAUUGCACAAUGGAGGGAACUCUGAUGCAGCGACGCCGCGUGAACGAAGAAGGCUUUCGAGUCGUAAAGUUCUUUUAUAUGGGAAGAUAAUGACGGUACCAUAAGAAAAAGCCCCGGCUAACUACGUGCCAGCAGCCGCGGUAAUACGUAGGGGGCUAGCGUUGUCCGGAAUCACUGGGCGUAAAGGGUUCGCAGGCGGAAAUGCAAGUCAGGUGUAAAAGGCAGUAGCUUAACUACUGUAAGCAUUUGAAACUGCAUAUCUUGAGAAGAGUAGAGGUAAGUGGAAUUUUUAGUGUAGCGGUGAAAUGCGUAGAUAUUAAAAAGAAUACCGGUGGCGAAGGCGACUUACUGGGCUCAUUCUGACGCUGAGGAACGAAAGCGUGGGUAGCAAACAG